GGGAGGAGAGGUGGUGCAGCUCAUGUUGACCCUGGCAGAUUUUAAAUCUCACCUAAAAUUGUUUCAAGCCAGCUUGAAAAUCAAUCUGUCGCAGCGUGGAAUUACCAGCGAUCAGAACCUCUGCACUGCCCUGCACAGAAACUCCAGACCAGGUGCAUGGCGAUGCUAUGGUGGUGGAGACGAUGACAUCAUCCAGGAAGUAACAUAUCUGUGACUCUGAAGGGAUAUCAGGCGACAAAGUUCUGCACAGUGGCCCUGAAACACCCGAGUCAGGACUUUAAAACUCUCUGGAAAGACGGCACAGUGGAUGUGACCUGGAACUAGUCUGAGUGGCGGAGGGAUACGACCACGAGGAGGUGACUCUGAACUGCUCAGGUCAUUGAUCACUAAUUUACCUAACCCUAACCCUUAAUCAAUGUAAGUGGAAUCGGUGCUGGUGAAACUGACUCACUACAACAUUAAAACUGUGGUCGACAGUUUCUUCUUUAUGUUUCUGUCUGCAGAGAGGAAGACCUCCAGCUGACGAUGAAGACGCUUCAUGACAAUGUGAACUGCAGUAAUGAUAUCACGUGUUGCAAGUGCUGCUGCUGCUGCUGAUGAUGAUGAUGAUGAUGAUGCUGCUGCUGCUUUCUUUCCACUGUUCCUGUCUGAUCGUGCAGCAAAGCCACUUCCAAAGGUUGAAUGUUUAAAUGAGUUAGUGUUUGUCCUCUGACAGUUCUAUUAAACUGGAUCUGUGUAUGAUUUAACCGUCCUCAUGAUGCUAUAAUUAAAUUGUCACGUCUCCUGUGAGUGAAGACACUGGUGUUAAUGUGGCAGAUAAAUAAUGAACGGGGGCAGAUUUACCAUUUACCCCUGGAACAGACAAACUCAGGCCUGGAUGUCAGCGUCACUUUACAUCUGCAAUUACAUGAAAAAGAUCCGAAACAACAAACUAUAAUCAUAACAACACAAAGCUGUCAGAUUGUGUUGACGAGGGAUGAUGGAGGGAAAGGUUUGUAGGGGUGACUUCCUGUCAGAACCUUUCAGAAUUAAAGCUCACAAUAGCUUGAAAUAAAGCAUUGCUGUAAAAGAAACAACAAAAACAAACUUUCUCAUGUUUAAUUUGACCUGUGGGCCUCCAGUCGCCACACGCUGGUCUGGACAGAGUGCUGCUGGUCACUGAGCCUCUUCACCUCCCUACCUGUUGGAGUUCUAUCAAGGUUCUUUAAGAACCCCCUCCAGCUUUUAAACUACCUGGUUCUCUUACUGAAGUGAAGUGGGGGUUCCCACC
This is a long non-coding RNA of Seriola aureovittata, 1270 nucleotides long. RefSeq lists it as uncharacterized. The transcript is spliced from 3 exons. The record is from RefSeq and is a predicted model, not a curated record. NCBI's taxonomy places the organism in Eukaryota, Metazoa, Chordata, Actinopteri, Carangiformes, Carangidae.